RNAcentral lists this transfer RNA (73 nucleotides) under Alienimonas chondri. RNAcentral's name for it is "tRNA-Arg". It matches the Rfam family "tRNA". Rfam says of the family: Transfer RNA (tRNA) molecules are approximately 80 nucleotides in length. The record is from RNAcentral. Lineage: Bacteria; Pseudomonadati; Planctomycetota; Planctomycetia; Planctomycetales; Planctomycetaceae.
GCGCCCCUAGCUCAAUGGAUAGAGCGCCGGUCUACGGAACCGGAGGUUGAAGGUUCGAGUCCUUCGGGGCGUA